This is a long non-coding RNA of Lotus japonicus, 730 nucleotides long. RefSeq lists it as uncharacterized. NCBI's taxonomy places the organism in Eukaryota, Viridiplantae, Streptophyta, Magnoliopsida, Fabales, Fabaceae. The record is from RefSeq and is a predicted model, not a curated record. The transcript has 3 exons.
ACAAAAAAAAACUAACCUACAGAGUGAAUAAACCCCGUAGCCCCACCCCCACUUCUAUUACCAAAUCCUAAAUAGAAAACCUAGUUUUUCUCCUCUCCCUCGUAAACCUCUUCAUUUGCUUGUGUGUGACAAUCAAUUGUCCUCAUCUGCUCCUCUCGUGUUCUUUCUUUCUUCUUCGGAAAAUCACACGGUACCCACCAUUAAAUAGAUGCUGGUGUAGAGAGGAAUUAUUCUGCCAGUGGAUGAUUUUUUAGCAUGACUUUGGAAGUUAGGGUUUGUGUUCUAAGGGAGGAAAAGAGUACCCACCCUUUCAGAAUUGUUCUUCCUAUUUUAUUGAGAAGGUUGAAGUUAAUUUUGGUGUUCAGAUUUGACGGCUAGUGGUUCGUUCAGUCGGCGUGAAGUUGUUGUGAGCGGUUCAGUUGACUCGUCAGUGUUAUUUUCAGGCAGCUUAGUAGCAGACUGUUGUCAGAUUCAGAUCAUUCGACUUAUUUCCUUUAGCAGGUUAUCAUAUUGGUGUCUUUAAUUUAAUCCUGGUUAUCUGCAGCUAUAGGGAGUCCUAGGUGGAUUUAGAUUUGGGAUUGUGAUUUAUUGUUAUAUUUUAAGAGUUGGCACUUGAGUGCUCGAGUUGAUUUUAUAUUUCACUUAAAAUACUGGUUAUGGAAGAACUUAUUGGCAGAUGUUGUUAAUUUGUAACUAUUGGAAUUACAAAAGAGAUUCUAGUGUUUUUAUA